AACGCACGAGACCUGCGGACCUGCGGAAGGAUCAUUAACGAGUAACUGAACAGGUUGUAGCUGGCUUCGCAAGGAGUUAUGUGCACGCCUGGCUCAUCCACUCCUCAAUCUCUGUGCACUUGUUGUAGGUUGGCGGGAAAGGCAAGUUCUUUUUAUAGGAUUUGCUUGAAAGCCUUCCUAUGUUUUUAUUACAAACGCUUCAGUUUAAGAAUGUAUUUCUGCGUAUAACGCAUCUAUAUA
This 240-nucleotide unclassified non-coding RNA is filed under the name soil metagenome. RNAcentral's name for it is "partial contains 5.8S ribosomal RNA, internal transcribed spacer 2, and large subunit ribosomal RNA". The record is from RNAcentral.